This 462-nucleotide ribosomal RNA is filed under the name uncultured bacterium. Its description in RNAcentral is "bacterial SSU rRNA". It matches the Rfam family "Bacterial small subunit ribosomal RNA", at positions 28 to 473 of the family's 1533-position model. The record is from RNAcentral.
GACGAACGCUGGCGGCGUGCCUAAUACAUGCAAGUAGAACGCUGAAGGAGGGAGCUUGCUUCUUCUGGAUGAGUUGCGAACGGGUGAGUAACGCGUAGGUAACCUGCCUGAUAGCGGGGGAUAACUAUUGGAAACGAUAGCUAAUACCGCAUAAGAGGUAAUAACACAUGUUAUUGGUUUAAAAGGGGCAACUGCUCCACUAUCAGAUGGACCUGCGUUGUAUUAGCUAGUUGGUAAGGUAACGGCUUACCAAGGCGACGAUACAUAGCCGACCUGAGAGGGUGAUCGGCCACACUGGGACUGAGACACGGCCCAGACUCCUACGGGAGGCAGCAGUAGGGAAUCUUCGGCAAUGGGGGGAACCCUGAACGAGCAAUGCCGCGUGAGUGAGGAAGGUCUUCGGGAUCGUAAAGCUCUGUUGUAAGAGAAAAACGGGCACUCAUAGGGAAUGAUGAGUGAGUG